Apodemus sylvaticus (European woodmouse) is the source of this 592-nucleotide long non-coding RNA. RefSeq lists it as uncharacterized. The transcript is spliced from 3 exons. The record is from RefSeq and is a predicted model, not a curated record. NCBI's taxonomy places the organism in Eukaryota, Metazoa, Chordata, Mammalia, Rodentia, Muridae.
ACGGCCUGGGAACCCUUGGCCUCGGCCCUGUUGCCCUUCACUGUGGCUUUGGCCGCUGGGGGCCUGUGUUCCCCUGUUCUCACACUUUUGCAAUGGAGCAGUUUAACCGCCUCCAUUUCUCUCUUCCCAUCAGCAGACCCGAACUCCUGCACCUCCAGUCUGAAGGUUACCUCUGCCUCCGCAGUGUCAACUGCCCCCGUCUCCUGAUCGGAACUUGCCAGGCUGAUAAAUCGAGAGAUUUUGAGGACCAGAUUCAGUCCACUCAGUUUUCAGCACACACAGAUGUGAAGGAUCCGACAGUCUCUUGUUACCCUUGAGGAUGUUAAGCAUGAAUGUGCUGCACAGAGACCAGGCUGGCUUCAAAUUCAAAGAGAUCUAACUGCCUCCACUUCCAGAGUUCUGAGCCACCACUGCUCAGCUACAAAAACAAAACAAAAUAAAACAACUGAAGGAAAGAAGAGGAAGAGGGAGAGGAAGAGGAGGAAGAGAAAGAAGAGGAGGACAGUAAAGAAGAUAGGAUGGAGAACAGCUCCUUAUCACCUCUUGGACUCCAAUGCAUUCUCAGGAAUUGGAAUAAUGUUGAUCUUUGAAA